UGCCCAUCAACUCCUAUCCCUACCUUCUCGUGGUACUUGCCGGGGCACGAGCAACCUUAGGGAAGAUCGGGUAACCAACCCUGGUGGGAACUUUAGCCGUAUAGGUACUGGCAGGGAAGG
RNAcentral lists this ribozyme (120 nucleotides) under Aedes aegypti (yellow fever mosquito). RNAcentral describes it as "drz-agam-1 ribozyme". It matches the Rfam family "drz-agam-1 ribozyme". The record is from Rfam by way of RNAcentral. Lineage: Eukaryota; Metazoa; Arthropoda; Insecta; Diptera; Culicidae.